UACGUAGGUGGCAAGCGUUGUCCGGAUUUACUGGGCGUAAAGGGCGCGUAGGCGGCCUGCUAAGUCGAACGUGAAAUCCCCGAGCUCAACUCGGGAACUGCGUCCGAUACUGACAGGCUUGAAUCCGGGAGAGGGAUGCGGAAUUCCAGGUGUAGCGGUGAAAUGCGUAGAUAUCUGGAGGAACACCGGUGGCGAAGGCGGCAUCCUGGACCGGCAUUGACGCUGAGGCGCGAAAGCUAGGGGAGCAAACGGG
Molecule: ribosomal RNA, 253 nt
Filed under: uncultured bacterium
Lineage: Bacteria
Description: partial 16S ribosomal RNA
Rfam family: Bacterial small subunit ribosomal RNA
Source: RNAcentral